RNAcentral lists this ribosomal RNA (414 nucleotides) under Salmonella enterica. RNAcentral's name for it is "bacterial SSU rRNA". It matches the Rfam family "Bacterial small subunit ribosomal RNA", at positions 1 to 411 of the family's 1533-position model. Lineage: Bacteria; Pseudomonadati; Pseudomonadota; Gammaproteobacteria; Enterobacterales; Enterobacteriaceae. The record is from RNAcentral.
AAAUUGAAGAGUUUGAUCAUGGCUCAGAUUGAACGCUGGCGGCAGGCCUAACACAUGCAAGUCGAACGGUAACAGGAAGCAGCUUGCUGUUUUGCUGACGAGUGGCGGACGGGUGAGUAAUGUCUGGGAAACUGCCUGAUGGAGGGGGAUAACUACUGGAAACGGUGGCUAAUACCGCAUAACGUCGCAAGACCAAAGAGGGGGACCUUCGGGCCUCUUGCCAUCAGAUGUGCCCAGAUGGGAUUAGCUUGUUGGUGAGGUAACGGCUCACCAAGGCGACGAUCCCUAGCUGGUCUGAGAGGAUGACCAGCCACACUGGAACUGAGACACGGUCCAGACUCCUACGGGAGGCAGCAGUGGGGAAUAUUGCACAAUGGGCGCAAGCCUGAUGCAGCCAUGCCGCGUGUAUGAAGA